GGGUAAGUCCUUGGCUGACAUUCUGUGUGUUACUCCAACAGCUUACCCAGACAAAACUGUUAUGUUGUAUUAUGUAAGAAUAAAUUGCCUGACUAUUWCUAAAGGUUUUCCUUUACUGAGUUUUGUCUUACACGAGGUCAAAAAUGGUAUUACUAAAAAUACCAUCAUAUGGUGACCCGCCGACUGUGAUUCAUUUUUUUCCAGUCAAUUUUUUUCAGGCAAUGGAGGGCUCCAGGCUGUGGCCAUUGGAGUGUACCCGAGGAAGCUUUGUUCUCGGAUGUCGAUAGUUUACCCGUGGAUAUUUUCUUUUCCAGGACGGUUUCCCCGUAAAGCUUUACUUUAACGGAUGGAUACACGCGCGUAAGUACCCCCCUGGGUGGGGUAUAUAUGUUUUUCUAACUUCUUCUUUUUGCCUCUUGUUUUGUUAAUUGUUGUGUUAAUCAGCUGAAAUUAUCUGCCAUUCAUGAUAGGAAUCCGCAGUUUCCUUCCUGUUUUUGUAUUUUGUACGUCUGUUAUUCCUUAUCAUGAAGUGUAGUCUAAAACAUCUUGAAAUAGAAAUUACACGUGUACUGUAUGUUGUUUGAUGAAUGCAAAAGGAUCCAUGAAUGUUGAAUGUUUGCCUAGCAGGCCAGAAAUACGGAAAACUAGGUUUUCUGAAGGAAAUUCUGUAGAGUGUGAAGUGUDAAUCACUUUCCUGUCCGUUUGAAUUGUCUGAUGAGGAAUUUUUCUGCGGUUCCUGUUUAUCAGGCCAGAAAUACGGAAAACKAGGUUUUCUGAAGGNAAAUUCUGUAGAGUGUGGAAGUGURAWYCACUUUCCCUGUCCGUUKRAWUUGUCAGAUGAAAAACGAGAGCCCUACAAACAUUUAGGUGUUGUCUGCAACUUCAAACCUAUUUUCUCCCUUUCCACUCAAUUGUAAGCCUGUUCUAAAUUACAGAGAAAAGUAUAACAUCAUUUUUUCCUGCAGGUGACUCCAGUUUAUAUGUAUGUUUGUUUGCCCUGUUUGUUUUAUAAACCAAUGUUAAUAGCUCGCUGCUAAGCUUUUUUGCAUCCUACAGGUCUGUUAGAGCAUAUUUUGAAUGUAAUACUUGUGUGUAUGUUAGAAAGAAAAGGACUYGACUUGACUUGACUUGACGGUUAUAUGACUUUGAUGUGUCUGUAAUGAAUAUGUUUACCUUACUGUUUUUGGUUCUCUUUAAUGUUUAUAUGUUUUCRUAGGUACCUCUUGUAAUAUAAUAUUUGUUCUAUGGGUCUAUCACUAAAAUAUUGUCAUUUUGUCUUUAACUAUCAUGUCACUAUUCGUAUCUUAUCCUAACAUUGUCUUCUUUGUUAUUAUUCUCAUAGUAACAUUAGUUCUCUUGUGUAUUUCUGUUUGUGAAUGGGUUACUCGUGAAUAAGGUUAAUUCACUCCACUUGUCUUUCUUGUGUUAACAGAAAUAUUAGUGUUGUCUCUUUAAAUGUUCUCUGUUAUAGUUUUUUGUCUCAAACUAACCUUACUUCUCUUUUUUAUCUUUAUGUGUCAGAUUGAUAACUGUUUUCUAAGUGUAUUAUGUUUGAUUUGUGAUCUGAARAAAARAAAAAAWCAUGUUCCAUCAGUUUAGAAUAUSUAACAAUCCUCCUAGAUAUGCUAGUUGAGUGCMCAAAACAUUUUAAGUUUCAAAGCCUUUGUUAAGUGUCACAGUGGAGGGGACAAGACUGCGUUUUCCUGGCCAGAAGGCGAUAGUWUUCUUCCCUCAYAACUUGAAAUUCUACUGUGACAGAUAAAGGAUAAUUGUAAGAGAAAAUAUUUUAYUAUACWAAUUGCAUGCYAUUAGAUCUAGCAGGCUUAUGCCAACCAAUAGAAAGUGAUAUUUYUCACAUAUACUUCAGCUGAGACAUUACACCUAUGCUCUGCUCCUUGCUCAGCAAACUUAGAUCCAGUCCUUUAUAUGGAUACCCAGGAGCAAUUAAAUGCCAUUUAAAUGUGCCUAUUGGCAACCUUAGAGUGACACAGGGUUACACAAUCUCAGAACUUUUGGUUCCACAGACAGUGCAGCCCCCASWAWUAAUGAUGAUUUCUUAUUGAGCUAAUGGUUCAGAAUGUUGUUAAGCUUAUUAACYAGUAGUACUUCCCCUGAAUAUUCUGAAGAMAANASGUCCUGACRACCCAAAUAAAUCASSRUCAGUUGUUUCACACUGRAGUACUUAAUGGUGCAUUAGACUUACAGCACCCUUUAGAGGAAAUCUARUUCAUAGUCCAAUUAAUAACAAGAAGGAUUCUWUUUGCUGGUACKGUCAUAAAAACUACAUUUCCCAGAAUCCUCCGUUGCACAAUAUUUCAGAURCUCACWSUUYUSUMACUKYYUYKUAACUUCCUCUUGUCAGCUCGCUGGCUCAGGAACUUUUAACCACAGCACAUAUUUUUAACUUUACCAUUUCAUACUCAUCUGUAAUUUUUUUCUGUAUCUCCUGCAUCUGGAUCUUUUUCACCAACAUGAAGGUAAACUUGAUGCAGUUUGGAUCCAUACCCGAUUCACUCAUUGGUACAGGUUAAAUUAUUUUUAUUAUUCUCUAGACAGAUGUGAAUCUAUUAUUUCAUAUUAUUGUACUGCAUUUGCAGUACAACAAGAGGGGAGUAUUAUAUUGUGGGUUAUGUUGUUGUUACUAUUUUUUCUAAUUAAAUAAGUUUCAGUUAAUAAAAAUGCAGCUUAUGUGCUUGUGCCGCUGCUAAAAAAAAAAAAUUCUCCCGUAAUCAUUGCACUUGUGUAUCUUGCAUCACAAGUCUGCAAGUGUAAGAAAAUGCAGAAGUGACUUAAAUUUAUUGUUGAUUUUGUCUGAUAACCAGUAAUUUCACUACCAAAUUUGUAGAAAUAAAUGAUGCUACUAAAAUGGGUCUAUGUCAUUUUCAUUUAGGCCAAAAAAAAAAAAAAAAAAAAAAAAAAAAGAGGACUUGUUAAAUGUUUUUGCUGGUUAUGAUUAAUCAAUAUUAUUUUGUUAUAAGAAGGAAACNGUACNGGUUGUAUUUGAUAGUUUACAUAAUUAAAUUUUCGAUUUUGUUACAAAAUUGCAAAUAUCACUGAUNUUAAGNGGAGUUGUGCCUUUGUACCAUCCCACUUCCAACAACACAAUUACUGGCAGCAUUUGGUUGGAUUUAUUCCCAGCUGUCCUGUCAAUUUUCCGCAACAAUCCUAUCAGGUGUUGUGGACUUUCCCCAUUUGAAAAAAAAAAAAAAAAAAAAAAAAAAAA
Molecule: small RNA, 3223 nt
Filed under: Xenopus laevis (African clawed frog)
Lineage: Eukaryota; Metazoa; Chordata; Amphibia; Anura; Pipidae
Description: up regulated post tail amputation-3
Source: RNAcentral